RNAcentral lists this ribosomal RNA (503 nucleotides) under uncultured Meliniomyces. RNAcentral's name for it is "eukaryotic LSU rRNA". The stretch from base 211 to 364 matches the Rfam family "5.8S ribosomal RNA". Lineage: Eukaryota; Fungi; Ascomycota; Leotiomycetes; Helotiales; Helotiaceae. The record is from RNAcentral.
AAGUCGUAACAAGGUUUCCGUAGGUGAACCUGCGGAAGGAUCAUUAAAGAAUCGCCCCGUUUUUUGAAAUGGGUUCUAUUCCCAAACCGUGUAUACAUACCUUUGUUGCUUUGGCAGGCCGCCUUUUAGGCGUCGGCUCCGGUUGACUGCGCCUGCCAGAGGACCCAAACUCGUUUGUUUAGUGAUGUCUGAGUACUAUAUAAUAGUUAAAACUUUCAACAACGGAUCUCUUGGUUCUGGCAUCGAUGAAGAACGCAGCGAAAUGCGAUAAGUAAUGUGAAUUGCAGAAUUCAGUGAAUCAUCGAAUCUUUGAACGCACAUUGCGCCCCUUGGUAUUCCGAGGGGCAUGCCUGUUCGAGCGUCAUUAUAACCACUCAAGCCUCGGCUUGGUCUUGGGGUUCGCGGUCUCGCGUCCCUUAAAAUCAGUGGCGGUGCCGUCUGGCUCUAAGCGUAGUAAUUCUCUCGCUAUAGGGUCCCGGUGGUUGCCUGCCAGAACCCCCCAU